AUUGAACGCUGGCGGCAGGCCUAACACAUGCAAGUCGAACGAGUGGCGGACGGGUGAGUAAUGUCUGGGCAACUGCCUGAUGGAGGGGGAUAACUACUGGAAACGGUAGCUAAUACCGCAUACCAUCGGAUGUGCCCAGAUGGGAUUAGCUAGUAGGUGGGGUAAAGGCUCACCUAGGCGACGAUCCAUAGCUGGUCUGAGAGGAUGACCCGCCACACUGGAACUGAGACAGGGUCCAGACUCCUACGGGAGGCAGCAGUGGGGAAUAUUGAACAAUGGGCGCAAGCCUGAUGCAGCCAUGCCGCGUGUAUUCAGAAGGCCUUCGGGGUGUAAAGUACGUUCAGCGGGGAGGCGUUAACCGCAGAAGAAGAACCGGCUAACUCCGUGCCAGCAGCCGCGGUAAUAC
This 406-nucleotide ribosomal RNA is filed under the name uncultured bacterium. RNAcentral describes it as "partial 16S ribosomal RNA". It matches the Rfam family "Bacterial small subunit ribosomal RNA", at positions 30 to 526 of the family's 1533-position model. The record is from RNAcentral.